CUCCCCUUCUUUCUCACCAUGGGGAUUGCUUAAGAGUACUCAGGUGUCCUCCAGCUUAGUUCCACAUUCUCCAACUGUCACUCUGGCACUCCUUCAACCUGGAUUCGAGCCCCCACAUAUGGGCACCACUUGCUGAGACCAGCUCAGUUGGGAAGACCCUAGCGUAGCAGCGCUAGAGGAAUUAAAGACACACACAGAGAGAUACAGAGGCAGUCACGUUUGUUGCAUGAUUGGAAUGGAACCUAAGAAGAGACCAUGCUACAUUCUCAUGAGACAUGAAGACUUGCUGGCACCAAAGUCUGAAAUACUGACUUCAUUAGUCACGUAGAUGAUGUUGUGGAAAGUUUCUCACUACCAACCUGGAAGGAUAUGGCUGUGGACUUUACCUAGGAGGAGUGGCAGCAUCUGGACAAUGCUCAGAGGACCCUGUACAGAGACAUGAUGCUGGAGACCUAUAGCAUCCUCAUAUCAUCGAGGCAUUGCAUUACCAAACCUGAAGUGAUCUUCAAGUUGGAGCAAGGAACAGAGCCACAGAGGGGAGAAGAAGUCCCAGAUCAGAGCCUUGCAGAUGUUCAGAUAGUUAAUGACCUAAUUGAGAGGAGCCAAGAAAGUCACAGUGGAUGCUUUGGCACAUCGUCAUCAGCAACAGCAUUACAUCAACAAAGGAGAGAGUUGAACUAGAAAAAACAUUUAAUUUGAACUCAAAGGAUAUUUUAAAUUUGAUUAUAAAUAAUGGAAACUAUUUAGGAA
Non-coding RNA from Macaca mulatta (Rhesus monkey), 750 nucleotides. NCBI's taxonomy places the organism in Eukaryota, Metazoa, Chordata, Mammalia, Primates, Cercopithecidae. The record is from RefSeq and is a predicted model, not a curated record.